UCCAUCAUGGCCUGGACCCCUCUCCUCCUCCAGCUUCUCACCCUCUGCUCAGGGUCCUGGGCACAGUCUGGGCUAACCCAGAAAGCCUCGGUGUCAGGGUCUGUGGGACAGAAGGUCACCUUCUCCUGCACUGGAAACAGCAACAAUGUAGGAGGUUAUACUGUGGGCUGGUACCAACAGGUUUCUCAUGGCGCUCCCAAAACUGUGAUGCUUGGAAGUACUCGGCCUACAGGGAUCCCUGAUCGCUUUUCUGGCUCACAGUCUGGAACCACAGCCUCCCUGACCAUCUCGGGUCUACAGCCUGAGGACGAGGCUGAUUAUUACUGUUCAACAUGGGACAAGAGCCUCAGUGCUCACACAGUGCUGCAGACACAUGGGGAACCGAGACAAAAACCUGCCCUUGACCUGUCCUGA
Molecule: non-coding RNA, 414 nt
Organism: Sapajus apella (tufted capuchin)
Lineage: Eukaryota; Metazoa; Chordata; Mammalia; Primates; Cebidae
Source: the annotation of a RefSeq genome assembly